Long non-coding RNA from Pundamilia nyererei, 543 nucleotides. RefSeq lists it as uncharacterized. The transcript is spliced from 3 exons. NCBI's taxonomy places the organism in Eukaryota, Metazoa, Chordata, Actinopteri, Cichliformes, Cichlidae. The record is from RefSeq and is a predicted model, not a curated record.
UCUCUCUGCACUGACUGUUUCUGCAGUCUCUCUGAGUGUAACUCCAGAUCAAAAGCAGUUCUUCAGUCUUGGUGCUCUAGCGAUUCUGUCUUGUAAUGAUGAUGAUGAACAAAGAGUUGAUGGAUGGACAGUGAAGAGGACCAGAGGAGGAGUCACUGAGAGAUGUGGAGCAGCUGCAGGCUUUGUUCUUAAAAAUUCUCAGUGUCAACUCAAGUUGCGUGACCCCUCUGAUGGAGCUUACUUCUGUGAAAGCUCAUCUGGACAGCGUAGUGAUGAAGUCAACAUCAUUGUUUCAGCUGGUUCCCUGAUCCUGGACAUCCCUUCAUCUCCUGUGUGGACAGGAAGUAAUGUGACUCUGCUCUGUCAAUGCAGAGAUGGUGAACCGGUGAAGUCUUAUUUCUAUAAAGAUGGGAAGAUAAUUGGAUCUGAUUCUAAAGACAAUUUGACUCUCACUAAUGUUCAGAAGUCUGAUGAAGGUCUCUACUCGUGCUCCACUGAGGUUCAUACAGAUACUCAGAAAAGCAGACUUACAGUCAGAGGUCA